UUCAGGGUAGCCGGGGGAGGCUGGAGCCUGUCCCAGAUGACUAAAAUCCCAUUUAAUAUGCUGCUGCACCAACAAACUACUUGCAAGGCAACAAGAUUUAUUGCAAAGAAGCAUUGUUACAACAAAGAAAUAAUCAAACAAACCCAAGCUAUGUGUAGUAAAAAAUGUACGGGACCUUAGGACCUGCUGCUCAACGUCAGCGAGACACAAUGGACUGUCUGGCCUGGGUAUUUUAGGUGUGCAAAUUUUCUGUGAUGGCUACCGCUGGCCACACCAUAAAUGUCAACAGCACUUCUCAGCAGUACACUCAGCAACCGACUGCAGCACCUGGGCCCUCUCAGUCCCACCAGAGAGCGUCCUACCAGCCAGCACCAGCUCAGCCUGAUGACCCAGCUGAGCUCAUGACCACAUCACCCAGCCAUGAACAGCCAUUCCUAAGACCACCACCAUCAUACGAGGAAACAACUGGUCCUGCCUACCCUCUACAACUGAUGCCUUCCAGUGAGACAGUGUUCAUCCCACUGUACCUAUCAGAGGGUACUGUGCAUGAGCACAACGGUCUACAGGACAGCACAGACUUCCUAACCAGCACUGCAUGCGACCCUGAAUUUGUUAUACGCUAGGCUUAAUAGUCAUAGCGCCCCAAGCAGACACAAACAUGAUGCAAAAUAUUUGGCUCAAAUGGAAGUAUGUACUUUGAAUGAAGAUGAGACACAGCAGUGUAACUUGAUGUAUUUUCAAUUUUAUUCUUUAAACCAGUUUUUAGUGGCUCAAGUUAUUUAGAAAAAUUGAAACAUAAGGUCACUGUUUCUCACUAAUUGUCUUUGGCCUUAUUCCUCAAGAUCUCUCCCUCUUGUCUUUACUCUCUAUCGGGGAAAGUACUUGACAGUCAGAUUCAGUUGUCAGCAGUUAGAAGGUGUUUCAGUGUUCAUUAGAAAUGCAUCGAUGGAUGCACAUGCAAGAUAAAUAUGAACACGUUAAAGAAGCUGACGUUAAAGUCAGGCGGUUGUACAGAAAAUCAUUGUGAAGUUAAUAACUUUUGUUAUUAUUUUAUUAUAGUCUCUUAUUAUAUUUUUUUACAUUGGAUACAGUUUGAGUUAUAGAUUUUAGAAAAACAAUCAGUUGUUAAACAGUGCGUCUCUAGUAUCUGUGGAUAUCGUCUCAUCGCUAUCUAUGAAUUUACUGCAGACCUGCAAAGUGCUGUUAACCCUUUUUCUCUGUGUAUUUGUGUGCAUUGCCUUGUAAGUCAUGCCCCAUGUGAAUGAAUUCAAAGAGUGCAAACAUUUAUUACUGAGGGUUUUUUCUCCAUUCAUGUCAGGUCAGCUGAUCACUCACACUUCCUGAACACAUACAGUUCCACUUUUUUAAUGCAUGUUGUUUUCAGUGUGUAAAAGAUGCGUUUACACUGUAUUAUUUUUGUUAGGACAUCACACGCUCCCCCAUUGAGUGAGCUGAAUUCUGGAUCUGUAAUUUAUGCUCUAGGUAAUUAUUGAAAUGAACUGACUGCUCCUUUGUAUAUACAUUUUCUCACGGAUAGAUCGAUGUGCAGCGGCCCUUCGGUCUCCCUUUACAGGGAGUGCAGAAUUAUUAGGCAAAUGAGUAUUUUGUCCACAUCAUCCUCUUCAUGCAUGUUGUCUUACUCCAAGCUGUAUAGGCUCGAAAGCCUACUACCAAUUAAGCAUAUUAGGUGAUGUGCAUCUCUGUAAUGAGAAGGGGUGUGGUCUAAUGACAUCAACACCCUAUAUCAGGUGUGCAUAAUUAUUAGGCAACUUCCUUUCCUUUGGCAAAAUGGGUCAAAAGAAGGACUUGACAGGCACAGAAAAGUCAAAAAUAGUGAGAUAUCUUGCAGAGGGAUGCAGCAGUCUCAAAAUUGCAAAGCUUCUGAAGCGUGAUCAUCGAACAAUCAAGCGUUUCAUUCAAAGUAGUCAACAGGGUCGCAAGAAGCGUGUGGAAAAACCAAGGCGCAAAAUAACUGCCCAUGAACUGAGAAAAGUCAAGCGUGCAGCUGCCAAGAUGCCACUUGCCACCAGUUUGGCCAUAUUUCAGAGCUGCAACAUCACUGGAGUGCCCAAAAGCACAAGGUGUGCAAUACUCAGAGACAUGGCCAAGGUAAGAAAGGCUGAAAGACGACCACCACUGAACAAGACACACAAGCUGAAACGUCAAGACUGGGCCAAGAAAUAUCUCAAGACUGAUUUUUCUAAGGUUUUAUGGACUGAUGAAAUGAGAGUGAGUCUUGAUGGGCCAGAUGGAUGGGCCCGUGGCUGGAUUGGUAAAGGGCAGAUAGCUCCAGUCCGACUCAGACGCCAGCAAGGUGGAGGUGGAGUACUGGUUUGGGCUGGUAUCAUCAAAGAUGAGCUUGUGGGGCCUUUUCGGGUUGAGGAUGGAGUCAAGCUCAACUCCCAGUCCUACUGCCAGUUUCUGGAAGACACCUUCUUCAAGCAGUGGUACAGGAAGAAGUCUGCAUCGUUCAAGAAAAACAUGAUUUUCAUGCAGGACAAUGCUCCAUCACACGUCCAAGUACUCCACAGCGUGGCUGGCAAGAAAGGGUAUAAAAGAAGAAAAACUAAUGACAUGGCCUCCUUGUUCACCUGAUCUGAACUCCAUUGAGAACAUGUGGUCCAUCAUCAAAUGUGAGAUUUACAAGGAGGGAAAACAGUACACCUCUCUGAACAGUGUCUGGGAGGCUGUGGUUGCUGCUGCACGCAAUGUUGAUGGUGAACAGAUCAAAACACUGACAGAAUCCAUGGAUGGCAGGCUUUUGAGUGUCCUUGCAAAGACAGGUGGCUAUAUUGGUCGCUGAUUUGUUUUUGUUUUGUUUUUGAAUGUCAGAAAUGUAUAUUUGUGAAUGUGGAGAUGUUAUAUUAGUUUCACUGGUAAAAAUAAAUUAUUGAAAUGGGUAUAUAUUUGUUUUUGUUAAGUUGCCUAAUAAUUAUGCACAGUAAUAGUCACCUGCACACACAGAUAUCCCCCUAAAAUAGCUAAAACUAAAAACAAACUGAAAACUACUUCCAAAAACAUUCAGCUUUGAUAUUAAUGAGUUUUUUCGGUUCAUUGAGAACAUGGUUGUUGUUCAAUAAUAAAAUUAUUCCUCAAAAAUACAACUUGCCUAAUAAUUCUGCACUCCCUGUACUGUACAUCCUGUACCUUAGCCUGUGUAGUGAUAUUGACAACAAAAAUAAUUAAAAAUACACUUACCCAUCGGGGCGCCGGAAACUGGUAGAUUGCAGGUAUGCCAGUUUGUCAGUCCAGCUCUGGCUGGUAAACCAAACCAGAUUAAUUAAUCUGGCCUAAAUAUUGUUAUGAGAGUUGUGAAAACUCAUUUUGUCGUUAUUGAUUUUCUGGCACGGAAUACCUUUGAAGUAGCAAAUAAAUUACGAUCGAUUAAACUUACUAUCAAUAUGUUUUUUUCCUCUUAUGAAAUAAAAGUGUCGGAGUUUCGAGCCUGUGCGGUUUCGCCAAACUUGCAGUCGAGAAUUUUCAAAGUAAAAGCCAUCUAAAGCGUCAAAAAUUAAUUGUUAACAUGCCAAUUUUUACUGUCUUGAUUUUAAUUCGACAAUAAAUAAACAAACAGACUUCUGUGACCUCACUGUUAUGGCCAUGUUCAUAAGAAAAGAUGUGCUUAUAGAUCAUGAUUGUAAAUUGUCUGUGAAUGGAAGAAGGCUGUCAGUGGGCUGGAAUAUGCAUUCAGUGUGGAGGCCACGUGUGUGGAAGAUCUACAGCAAGUAGUUUCGCGUUAAGGGGUUCAGAUCAGACCCCUUCCUCUAAGACGUGUUGGCUCUGGGUGUGCUCCCGUCCCAUCGUGUAUCCGCUUCUGCAGCUACUUGUGCAAGAUUGCUGCCAAUGAAGAAGAGUAGAGCCUCCUACCAGCCAACACCAGCAGAGCUCAUGACCACAUCACCAAACCAUGAACAACCAUUCCCACAAAAACCACCACCAUCGUAUGAGGAAACAAUUAGUACACUCCACCUGAUGCCUUCCAGCCAGACUGUGUUCAUCCCCAGCGAUCCACUGUACCCUUCAGAGGGUUGAACUCCCAUCAUACACUUCCACUUCUCCCUGUUAUUGCUGUCAUGAAUGACUUUAACUUACUCUGUGUUAUACUCGGCAUUGUCUUCUGGUGCUGUGUCUUCACCUGCAGCUGUCUGUGCAGGAGCGCUGCCAAUCCAAACUCUGAGGUGGCUGCUGCUACCCACACCUUGGUCACUGCCACACCUCAGCAGUAUCCACAGCAGUACCCUCAGUACCCAGUACCCCCUCAGUCCUAUCAGAGAGUGCCCUACCAGCCAGUACCAGGGCACCCUGGUUACCCAGCUAUGCCUGGCAAUCAAGCUGUGCUCAUGACCAUACCACUCAGCUAUGAACAGCCAUUUACGCCACCACCAUCGUAUCAGGAUGCAAUUGGUCCCACCUAUCCUCUGCAACCAAUCAACCAAUCUUCCAGCCAGCCAGAGUGCCCUUCAAAGCCUCCAGCCCAGCCACAGUCCAAUGCUCUAACUGACAGCUCAGACUUCCUCGCCAGCUCGGCAAACAACCAGGAAUUUGUUCUGCCAUAUAGGCUGGAUACUUAGUGUAUCAAUCAGACAGAAAAAUUUUACCACCUGUUGUUAAUUCAUUAUUUAAUUCAAUUUGACAAACUAAGCCUUGUACACAGGGAAAGUUGUUGUUUGUUAUGUUUUUUGUGUUCACAUGGACAGAAGACUUCCCUGCUAAGGCGUUUAUUUUUUUCCCCAUCUUAUAGCCUCAUUUCCAAAAUGGUUGGAAACGCUGUACAAAAUGUAAACAAUUACUGAAUGCAGUGAUGUGCAAAUAACAUAAAGAUCACAUUUAAAACAAUA
Molecule: long non-coding RNA, 4838 nt
Organism: Astatotilapia calliptera (eastern happy)
Lineage: Eukaryota; Metazoa; Chordata; Actinopteri; Cichliformes; Cichlidae
Source: Ensembl